GUUGGUUCUACCCGAAGGUGGUGCGCUAACCGCAAGGAGGCAGCCGACCACGGUAGGGUCAGCGACUGGGGUGAAGUCGUAACAAGGUAGCYGUAGGUGAACCUGCAGAAGGAUCA
RNAcentral lists this ribosomal RNA (116 nucleotides) under uncultured eukaryote. RNAcentral describes it as "partial small subunit ribosomal RNA". The record is from RNAcentral.